GUGCUCACUUUGGCAGCACAUAUACUAAAAUUGGAACAACACAGAGAAGAUUAGCAUGGCCCCUGCGACAAGGAUGACACGCAAAUUUGUGAAGCGUUUCAUAUUUUU
RNAcentral lists this small nuclear RNA (108 nucleotides) under Neotoma lepida (desert woodrat). Lineage: Eukaryota; Metazoa; Chordata; Mammalia; Rodentia; Cricetidae. The record is from RNAcentral.